This 465-nucleotide ribosomal RNA is filed under the name uncultured bacterium. RNAcentral's name for it is "partial 16S ribosomal RNA". It matches the Rfam family "Bacterial small subunit ribosomal RNA", at positions 28 to 507 of the family's 1533-position model. The record is from RNAcentral.
GACGAACGCUGGCGGCGUGCUUAACACAUGCAAGUCGAACGGAAAGGCCCUGCUUGCAGGGUACUCGAGUGGCGAACGGGUGAGUAACACGUGGGUGAUCUGCCCUGCACUUCGGGAUAAGCCUGGGAAACUGGGUCUAAUACCGGAUAGGAGCCAUUUUUAGUGUGAUGGUUGGAAAGUUUUUUCGGUGUAGGAUGAGCUCGCGGCCUAUCAGCUUGUUGGUGGGGUAAUGGCCUACCAAGGCGGCGACGGGUAGCCGGCCUGAGAGGGUGGACGGCCACAUUGGGACUGAGAUACGGCCCAGACUCCUACGGGAGGCAUCAGUGGGGAAUAUUGCACAAUGGGCGCAAGCCUGAUGCAGCGACGCCGCGUGGGGGAUGACGGCCUUCGGGUUGUAAACUCCGUUCGCUAGGGACGAAGCUUUUUGUGACGGUACCUAGAUAAGAAGCACCGGCUAACUACGUG